RNAcentral lists this ribosomal RNA (548 nucleotides) under uncultured bacterium. Its description in RNAcentral is "bacterial SSU rRNA". It matches the Rfam family "Bacterial small subunit ribosomal RNA", at positions 355 to 896 of the family's 1533-position model. The record is from RNAcentral.
UGGGGAAUUUUGGACAAUGGGGGCAACCCUGAUCCAGCCAUGCCGCGUGCGGGAAGAAGGCCUUCGGGUUGUAAACCGCUUUCGGCCGGAACGAAAUCGGCGGGAUGAACAGUCUCGCUGGAUGACGGUACCGGAAGAAGAAGCACCGGCUAACUACGUGCCAGCAGCCGCGGUAAUACGUAGGGUGCGAGCGUUAAUCGGAAUUACUGGGCGUAAAGCGUGCGCAGGCGCCGCGUAAGCCAGAGGUGAAAUCCCCGGGCUCAACCUGGGAAUGGCCUUUGGGACUGCGUGGCUCGAGUGCGGCAGAGGGGGGUGGAAUUCCUGGUGUAGCAGUGAAAUGCGUAGAGAUCAGGAGGAACACCGAUGGCGAAGGCAGCCCCCUGGGCCAGCACUGACGCUCAGGCACGAAAGCGUGGGGAGCAAACAGGAUUAGAUACCCUGGUAGUCCACGCCCUAAACGAUGACGACUAGUUGUUGGGGGAGUCUAUCCCUUAGUAACGUAGCUAACGCGUGAAGUCGUCCGCCUGGGGAGUACGGUCGCAAGAUUA